This 253-nucleotide ribosomal RNA is filed under the name uncultured bacterium. RNAcentral describes it as "partial 16S ribosomal RNA". It matches the Rfam family "Bacterial small subunit ribosomal RNA", at positions 524 to 776 of the family's 1533-position model. The record is from RNAcentral.
UACGAGUGCCUCAUGCGUUAUCCGGAAUCAUUGGGCGUAAAGGGUGUGUAGGUGGUCUUAUUAGUCUUUUGUUAAAUUCUUCGGCUUAACCGGGGGCAUGCAAAAGAAACGGUAAGACUCGAGGAUGCGAGGGGUCUGCGGAACUCAUGGUGUAGCGGUGAAAUGCGUUGAUAUCAUGGGGAACACCAAAAGCGAAGGCAGCAGACUGGAGCAUUCCUGACACUGAAACACGAAAGCGUGGGUAGCGAAUGGG